Molecule: unclassified non-coding RNA, 148 nt
Organism: Pongo abelii (Sumatran orangutan)
Lineage: Eukaryota; Metazoa; Chordata; Mammalia; Primates; Hominidae
Rfam family: Metazoan signal recognition particle RNA
About the family: The signal recognition particle (SRP) is a universally conserved ribonucleoprotein.
Source: Ensembl
GCCGGGUGUGGUGGUGUGCACCUGUAGUCCCAGCUACUUGGGAGGCUGAGGCAGGAGAAUUGCUUGAACCCGGGAGGUGGAGUUUGCAGUGAGUCGAGAUUGCACCACUGAGCUCCAGCCUGGGCGACAGAGCAAGACUCCGUCUCCA